Molecule: ribosomal RNA, 559 nt
Filed under: uncultured bacterium
Lineage: Bacteria
Description: bacterial SSU rRNA
Rfam family: Bacterial small subunit ribosomal RNA
Source: RNAcentral
AGAGUUUGAUCCUGGCUCAGGAUGAACGCUGGCGGCGUGCUUAACACAUGCAAGUCGAACGAAGCACACAGAAACAAAUCUUCGGAAGAGUAUCUGUGUGACUGAGUGGCGUACGGGUGAGUAACGCGUGGGUAACCUGCCCUAUACAGGGGGAUAACAGUUAGAAAUGACUGCUAAUACCGCAUAAGCGCACAGGAUCGCAUGGUCAAGUGUGAAAAACUGAGGUGGUAUAGGAUGGACCCGCGUCUGAUUAGCUUGUUGGUGAGGUAACGGCUCACCAAGGCGACGAUCAGUAGCCGGCCUGAGAGGGCGACCGGCCACAUUGGGACUGAGACACGGCCCAAACUCCUACGGGAGGCAGCAGUGGGGAAUAUUGCACAAUGGGGGAAACCCUGAUGCAGCGACGCCGCGUGAGUGAAGAAGUAUUUCGGUAUGUAAAGCUCUAUCAGCAGGGAAGAAAAUGACGGUACCUGACUAAGAAGCCCCGGCUAACUACGUGCCAGCAGCCGCGGUAAUACGUAGGGGGCAAGCGUUAUCCGGAUUUACUGGGUGUAAAGGG